Molecule: ribosomal RNA, 253 nt
Filed under: uncultured bacterium
Lineage: Bacteria
Description: partial 16S ribosomal RNA
Rfam family: Bacterial small subunit ribosomal RNA
Source: RNAcentral
UACGUAGGUGGCAAGCGUUGUCCGGAUUUACUGGGCGUAAAGAGCGCGCAGGCGGUCGUUCAAGUCGCGUGUGAAAGCCCCCGGCUCAACUGGGGAGGGUCACGCGAUACUGAUCGACUCGAAGGCAGGAGAGGGUAGUGGAAUUCCCGGUGUAGUGGUGAAAUGCGUAGAUAUUGGGAAGAACACCGGUGGCGAAGGCGGCUCUCUGGACCGAUACUGACGCUGAGGCGCGAAAGCGUGGGGAGCAAACAGG